AGAGUUUGAUCAUGGCUCAGGACGAACGCUGGCGGCGUGCCUAACACAUGCAAGUCGAACGGGGCCCGCAAGGGUUCAGUGGCGAACGGGUGCGUAACACGUGAAGAAUUUGUCCAACGGCGGGGGAUAGCCGGCCCAACGGCCGGGUAAUACCGCGUACGCCCUUCGGGAGGCAUCUCCUGAUGGGGAAAGCCGCAAGGCGCCGAUGGAGAACUUCGCGGCCUAUCAGCUAGUUGGUGGGGUAAUGGCUCACCAAGGCGACGACGGGUAGCUGGUCCGAGAGGAUGACCAGCCACAUUGGGACUGAGACACGGCCCAGACUCCUACGGGAGGCAGCAGUGGGGAAUAUUGCGCAAUGGGCGAAAGCCUGACGCAGCGACGCCGCGUGUGGGAUGACGGCCUUCGGGUUGUAAACCACUGUCGCGAGGGACGAAGAUCUGACGGUACCUCGAAAGGAAGCACCGGCUAACUCUGUGCCAGCAGCCGCGGUAAUACA
RNAcentral lists this ribosomal RNA (496 nucleotides) under uncultured Pseudonocardiaceae bacterium. Its description in RNAcentral is "bacterial SSU rRNA". It matches the Rfam family "Bacterial small subunit ribosomal RNA", at positions 8 to 527 of the family's 1533-position model. The record is from RNAcentral. Lineage: Bacteria; Bacillati; Actinomycetota; Actinomycetes; Pseudonocardiales; Pseudonocardiaceae.